UGGGGAAUAUUGCACAAUGGGGGAAACCCUGAUGCAGCGAAGCCGCGUGAACGAAGAAGGUAUUCGUAUCGUAAAGUUCUGUCCUAUGGGAAGAUAAUGACAGUACCAUAGAAGAAAGCUCAGGCUAAAUACGUGCCAGCAGCCGCGGUAAUACGUAUGGAGCGAGCGUUGUCCGGAAUUAUUGGGCGUAAAGGGUACGCAGGCGGUUUAAUAAGUCGAAUGUUAAAGAUCGGGGCUCAACCCCGCAAAGCAUUGGAAACUGAUAAACUUGAGUAGUGGAGAGGAAAGUGGAAUUCCUAGUGUAGUGGUGAAAUACGUAGAUAUUAGGAGGAAUACCAGUAGCGAAGGCGACUUUCUGGACCCAAACUGACGCUGAGGUACGAAAGCGUGGGGAGCAAACAGG
RNAcentral lists this ribosomal RNA (403 nucleotides) under bacterium. Its description in RNAcentral is "partial 16S ribosomal RNA". It matches the Rfam family "Bacterial small subunit ribosomal RNA", at positions 355 to 776 of the family's 1533-position model. The record is from RNAcentral.